AUCUAUACGGUGAAACUGCGAAUGGCUCAUUAAAUCAGUUAUCGUUUAUUUGAUAGUACCUUACUACAUGGAUACCUGUGGUAAUUCUAGAGCUAAUACAUGCUAAAAACCUCGACUUCGGAAGGGGUGUAUUUAUUAGAUAAAAAACCAAUGCCCUUCGGGGCUCCUUGGUGAAUCAUAAUAACUUAACGAAUCGCAUGGCCUUGCGCCGGCGAUGGUUCAUUCAAAUUUCUGCCCUAUCAACUUUCGAUGGUAGGAUAGUGGCCUACCAUGGUGGCAACGGGUAACGGGGAAUUAGGGUUCGAUUCCGGAGAGGGAGCCUGAGAAACGGCUACCACAUCCAAGGAAGGCAGCAGGCGCGCAAAUUACCCAAUCCCGAUACGGGGAGGUAGUGACAAUAAAUACUGAUACGGGGCUCUUUUGGGUCUCGUAAUUGGAAUGAGUACAAUUUAAAUACCUUAACGAGGAACAAUUGGAGGGCAAGUCUGGUGCCAGCAGCCGCGGUAAUUCCAGCUCCAAUAGCGUAUAUUAAAGUUGUUGCAGUUAAAAAGCUCGUAGUUGAACCUUGGGUCUGGCUGGCCGGUCCGCCUCACCGCGAGUACUGGUCCGGCUGGACCUUUCCUUCUGGGGAACCUCAUGGCCUUCACUGGCUGUGGGGGGAACCAGGACUUUUACUGUGAAAAAAUUAGAGUGUUCAAAGCAGGCCUUUGCUCGAAUACAUUAGCAUGGAAUAAUAGAAUAGGACGUGCGGUUCUAUUUUGUUGGUUUCUAGGACCGCCGUAAUGAUUAAUAGGGAUAGUCGGGGGCGUCAGUAUUCAGCUGUCAGAGGUGAAAUUCUUGGAUUUGCUGAAGACUAACUACUGCGAAAGCAUUCGCCAAGGAUGUUUUCAUUAAUCAGGGAACGAAAGUUAGGGGAUCGAAGACGAUCAGAUACCGUCGUAGUCUUAACCAUAAACUAUGCCGACUAGGGAUCGGGCGGUGUUUCUAUGAUGACCCGCUCGGCACCUUACGAGAAAUCAAAGUUUUU
RNAcentral lists this ribosomal RNA (1027 nucleotides) under Trichocomaceae sp. RNAcentral's name for it is "SSU rRNA". It matches the Rfam family "Eukaryotic small subunit ribosomal RNA", at positions 72 to 1108 of the family's 1831-position model. Lineage: Eukaryota; Fungi; Ascomycota; Eurotiomycetes; Eurotiales; Trichocomaceae. The record is from RNAcentral.